GCGGGGCUCGUCCUCUGGUGAGGGCACCUGCCUUACGAGCAGGCUCAGGAGAGUUCGAUCCUCUCGUCCCGUA
This 73-nucleotide transfer RNA is filed under the name Polyangiaceae bacterium. RNAcentral's name for it is "tRNA-Val". It matches the Rfam family "tRNA". Rfam says of the family: Transfer RNA (tRNA) molecules are approximately 80 nucleotides in length. Their secondary structure includes four short double-helical elements and three loops (D, anti-codon, and T loops). Further hydrogen bonds mediate the characteristic L-shaped molecular structure. tRNAs have two regions of fundamental functional importance: the anti-codon, which is responsible for specific mRNA codon recognition, and the 3' end, to which the tRNAs corresponding amino acid is attached (by aminoacyl-tRNA synthetases). tRNAs cope with the degeneracy of the genetic code in two manners: having more than one tRNA (with a specific anti-codon) for a particular amino acid; and 'wobble' base-pairing, i.e. permitting non-standard base-pairing at the 3rd anti-codon position. The record is from RNAcentral. Lineage: Bacteria; Pseudomonadati; Myxococcota; Polyangiales; Polyangiaceae.